This 918-nucleotide ribosomal RNA is filed under the name uncultured euryarchaeote. RNAcentral describes it as "bacterial SSU rRNA". It matches the Rfam family "Archaeal small subunit ribosomal RNA", at positions 1 to 926 of the family's 1478-position model. Lineage: Archaea; Methanobacteriati; Methanobacteriota. The record is from RNAcentral.
UUCCGGUUGAUCCUGCCGGAGGCUACCGCUAUUGGAGUUCGAUUAAGCCAUGCGAGUCGAGAGUCCUCGGGACUCGGCGUACCGCUCAGUAACACGUGGGUAACCUGCCCUAUGCUGGGGAAUAACCUCGGGAAACUGAGAAUAAUGCCCCAUAGCCCACUACGCCUGGAACGGUGAGUGGGUCAAAGCUCCGGCGGCAUAGGAUGGGCCUGCGCCGUAUCAGGUUGUAGGGGGUGUAAAGUACCCUCUAGCCAUCAACGCGUACGGGUGUUGGGAGACAUUGCCCGGAGAUGGAUUCUGAGACACGAAUCCAGACCCUACGGGGUGCAGCAGGCGCGAAAACUUGGCAAUGCGAGAAAUCGUGACCAGGGAACUCCAAGUGCGUAGGGUAAGACCUACGCUUUUCUUGACUCUUCAAAGGUCUUGGAAUAAGGGGUGGGUAAGGACGGUACCAGCCGCCGCGGUAAUACCGGCGCCUCAAGUGGUAGUCGCUUUUAUUGGGCCUAAAACGUCCGUAGCCGGUCUGGUGCAUUCGUGGGUAAAUCAACCCGCUCAACGGGUUGAAUUCUGCGAGCACGGCCAGACUUGGGACCGGGAGAGGUGUGGGGUACUCUCAGGGUAGGGGUAAAAUCCUGUCAUCCUGAGAGGACCACCUGUUGCGAAGGCGCCACACUAGAACGGAUCCGACGGUCAGGGACGAAACCUAGGGGCACGAACCGGAUUAGAUACCCGGGUAGUCCUAGGUGUAAACGCUGUGGACUGAUGGUUUGGGGGGCGCUCCGAGCGCCCUCAGUGUCGAAGCGAAGUGAUAAGUCCACUGCCUGGGGAGUACGGUCGCAGCUGAUGAACUUAAGGAAUUGGCGGGGGGAGCACUGCAACCUGAGGAUUGUGCGGUUUAUUGGAUUCACGCCGGGAAGG